UACGAAGGGUGCAAACGUUGCUCGGAAUUAUUGGGCGUAAAGCACACGUAGGCGGCCUUGUAAGUCGGAUGUGAAAUCCCUCGGCUUAACCGAGGACGUGCAUCCGAAACUGUGAGGCUCGAGUAUGGAAGAGGGUCGCAGAAUUCCCGGUGUAGAGGUGAAAUUCGUAGAUAUCGGGAGGAAUACCAGUGGCGAAGGCGGCGACCUGGGCCAAUACUGACGCUGAGGUGCGAAAGCGUGGGGAGCAAACAGG
RNAcentral lists this ribosomal RNA (253 nucleotides) under uncultured bacterium. RNAcentral's name for it is "partial 16S ribosomal RNA". It matches the Rfam family "Bacterial small subunit ribosomal RNA", at positions 524 to 776 of the family's 1533-position model. The record is from RNAcentral.